GAUGAACGCUGGCGGCGUGCCUAAUACAUGCAAGUCGAGCGAACAGACGAGGAGCUUGCUCCUCUGACGUUAGCGGCGGACGGGUGAGUAACACGUGGAUAACCUACCUAUAAGACUGGGAUAACUUCGGGAAACCGGAGCUAAUACCGGAUAAUAUAUUGAACCGCAUGGUUCAAUAGUGAAAGACGGUUUUGCUGUCACUUAUAGAUGGAUCCGCGCCGCAUUAGCUAGUUGGUAAGGUAACAGCUUACCAAGGCGACGAUGCGUAGCCGACCUGAGAGGGGGAUCGGCCACACUGGAACUGAGACACGGUCCAGACUCCUACGGGAGGCAGCAGUAGGGAAUCUUCCGCAAUGGGCGAAAGCCUGACGGAGCAACGCCGCGUGAGUGAUGAAGGGCUUCGGAUCGUAAAACUCUGUUAUUAGGGAAGAACAAAUGUGUAAGUAACGAUGCACGUCUUGACGGUACCUAAGCAGAAAGCCACGGCUAACUACGG
RNAcentral lists this ribosomal RNA (496 nucleotides) under uncultured bacterium. Its description in RNAcentral is "partial 16S ribosomal RNA". It matches the Rfam family "Bacterial small subunit ribosomal RNA", at positions 28 to 506 of the family's 1533-position model. The record is from RNAcentral.